AUGGAAGUAGGAUGCAAAUUCUGUGGGAUUACCACGACAUAAGGCCUCAAUAGAAGUUGAUACUUUCUUUUCACUUAUCUUUUCAUACUUUUGCUUCUUGUUCCCUGCUUUUAGUCCUUGCCACGGAAGACUUCCCCUUAAAAAAUACAUCAGAACAUAUCCAAGUGAUUCUAAAUCAUCCCUGCGACUUUGUUCAAUGCCAAGAUGAGUAUUCAUGCUAGCAUAUCUUGCAGUUCCAGUCAAAUUCUUAUUUUCUCUGUAAGGAAUAUGCUGAUGCGUUGAAGUGUCUCUGUACUUCUUAGCCAGACCAAAGUCAAUGAUAUAGACCUGAUUGGCACGCCUCCCUAAACCCAUUAAGAAGUUGUCUGGCUUGAUAUCUCGAUGGAGGAAUGAUUUGGAAUGAACAAAUUCAACCCGAUUAAUCAUCUGGUCUGCAAGCAUCAGAACAGUCUUCAGAGACAGUUUCCUACUGCAAAAGUUGAACAAAUCUUCAAGACUAGGUCCCAGUAAAUCCAUCACGAGGAUAUUAUAUUCCCCUUCAACACCAAACCAUCUAACAUUUGGAAUUCCAGUUCCUCCUUGCAGAAUCUUAUAUAACUUUGACUCAUACAGCAACUGAGGAUGCUUUGUCUUCACAGUUUCGAGCUUAAUGGCAAUUUCCUCGUUUGUUUGAAUAUUAGUACCGAGAUAGAUCUCUCCAAAUGAUCCACUACCGAUCUUGCGACCGAUACGAAAUUUGUUACCAACGCG
Molecule: unclassified non-coding RNA, 750 nt
Filed under: Hevea brasiliensis (rubber tree)
Lineage: Eukaryota; Viridiplantae; Streptophyta; Magnoliopsida; Malpighiales; Euphorbiaceae
Source: RNAcentral